CGUGGAGACAGGUGGUGCAUGGCUGUCGUCAGCUCGUGUCGUGAGAUGUUGGGUUAAGUCCCGCAACGGGCGCAACCCUCACCUCUUGUUGCCAUCAGGUCAUGCUGGGCACUCUAGAGGAACUGCCCCGGUCAACGGGGAGGAAGGCGGGGAUGACGUCAAGUCAUCAUGCCCCUUACGUCCUGGGCUACACACGUGCUACAAUGGCCGGUACAAAGGGAUGCCACACCGCGAGGUAGAGCUAAACCCAAAAAGCCGGUCUAAGUUCAGAUUGGAGUCUGCAACUCGACUCCAUGAAGGAGGAAUCGCUAGUAAUCGCGUAUCAGCACGACGCGGUGAAUACGUUCCCGGGCCUUGUACACACCGCCCGUCACGCCACGAAAGCCUGCUGUACUCGAAGUCGCUGAG
RNAcentral lists this ribosomal RNA (408 nucleotides) under uncultured Methylomirabilota bacterium. Its description in RNAcentral is "bacterial SSU rRNA". It matches the Rfam family "Bacterial small subunit ribosomal RNA", at positions 1027 to 1434 of the family's 1533-position model. The record is from RNAcentral. Lineage: Bacteria; Methylomirabilota (SeqCode).